CUCUCUCUCUCUCUCUCUCUCUCUCUCUCUCGCUCUCUCUAUCUACUCGCCGAUGGCCAUGGCAAUAUUGUAACUCUCCAACUACUCUACAUUUGAUGUGACGUCAUGGCUAAUUCUAACGCAUAUGAGUGUGUGAGAGAGAAAGUUAUUGAGGCAAAAUGGGAUAGUCUGUAGUGAAUAGAUUGUUUAGUUAGGCUUUAUUCUUUACUAUUGGCACUGAUUUAAAAGUAACACGUUAACACGAUGUCGGCUGCUCCAGGUUGUGUGCGUAAUGGUGCAUAAUUGUCAGGGUAGAUACAUUGAUUUUGGAACUAGCUUAGACCAGAGUGGGCGCAUAGGGCAAAUGUCUAGUCAUCCUCUGUGACAAAUAUCGAUUUAAUAUGUGACAGCAAGCCUAUUGAAAACCAUAGCCAACAUUUGAAGAAAUCAUGGUUAAUGGGGUUUGGAGUCAAACGCCUAACAUAUUCCCUGUAAGCCUGGUUUUCUUCUUCUCACCAACAGCACCUAUGUGCAGAUAAAUGGAAUAGGAAUACCGGAAGAUAACUGACAAAUAAAUAGGUGUCAAUUAGACACCUACAAAACGAGAAAAAUGGCUGCGAUGCCUACAAUUUCAACAGACCUGUUGAUAAAAUGACCAUGGUGUUUUUUUUGUUAUUACAUGUAAGCUUCAGCCAUUGGCAGUAGGCUACCACGGAGCUAUGGAAAAUAUACAGCACACCAAAACGUUUCUUUGAAUCCAGUAAAUUCCACCGUACCAUGGAGAAAGGUAAACAAUGAGGCGUGAUUUGCUGUUGCCUUUUGCUCCCUGAACCUGAACCUGGUACCUUGGAUAGCGACGCUCGGGAAUCAUUUUACCUCAGUAACGGAAUCGUAAGUGACGCGCCUCGCUAUGCUGUUCACAUUCGGGACGAAUGGCUGGCGAUUCCCUGUCUGGGACCCGACCUACACUAUCCAAUGGUUGGGGUAUGAGGCGCUCAAACGCUACACCAAGAACAUGCAGUGCAACGGGGGCAUGAAGGCGGUGAAAGACAUUCGCUUCCUCGCGAGGAGGUGCAAGGCCAGGGGCUGUUGGACGGUGAUGACACCAUCCAUCAAAGAUGUCCUCUAAUACAAUGACUUUAUCAAAAUUGAUAUCCACGCCCUGUGGUGCCAUCCAGGACAGAUAGAAAUAGCCAGGAGGUUCCGCACCCUACUGGACUCAGACCACCACCCCUCAGAGAUUGCAGAGAGCCAUCGGUUCUGGAGUCCAGGAUGCCUACACUAUACUCCUCAGGUCCACGAUAUUGUCAACAACACAAUAGACUUUGCCCAGAAAUGAUCAAUACAGAGAUCAACAGCGCCUCUGCCAACCCUGUGCCCUUCGCUGUUUCUUGCUAUGGAGCUGCUAGCUGCCUGCCAGGGCAUCAAGUUCUUCCACCCCCUGCUUACCACAACACCAUUGGAGAAGGUCUAUGACCUUGUACGCAGUGUAACCAAAGCCCUGGAUCAAGGAUAGGUUCAUGUCACCAGACAUUGAUGCUGUCCAUCAUCUUCUUCUAGACCAGAAGG
Oncorhynchus tshawytscha (Chinook salmon) is the source of this 1548-nucleotide long non-coding RNA. RefSeq lists it as uncharacterized. The transcript has 6 exons. NCBI's taxonomy places the organism in Eukaryota, Metazoa, Chordata, Actinopteri, Salmoniformes, Salmonidae. The record is from RefSeq and is a predicted model, not a curated record.